AGCAUUAACCCUAGUGCUUAUAAGCUUGUUAUAGAACCACCCAAGAUAGAGAAAAACACGUGUUACUCUUCUGAUCUUGGUUUUGAAGGGUUAAGGCUUGAUGAGAAUUUGCCUUUCAAUAUUUCUACCCAUAACACUGUUAUGUUAUUUAACUGCUCAGAUAACGUUCUCCAAUCACCAAUGAAUUGCUCAUCAACCAGCUUUUGUAGGCAGUUUGAAAAGGAAGAGCAAGAAGGAAGUGGAUGCAAAGGUACCCUCUGUUGCCAUUUCUUGAAAGAUGCAUCAAUAACCCAAUAUAUGAUUAGGGUUAGGGUUGGAGGGUGCACUGCCUAUACUUGUGUUCUGGAUAUGAAGCCUGGAGAUCCAAU
Molecule: unclassified non-coding RNA, 368 nt
Filed under: Hevea brasiliensis (rubber tree)
Lineage: Eukaryota; Viridiplantae; Streptophyta; Magnoliopsida; Malpighiales; Euphorbiaceae
Source: RNAcentral